CCAUCUUAGGAAUUACAUAUGAAAAGGGUUUCAGUUUACAGUCUUAGGAAUGAAAAAAAGGAAAUUGAUCUGAGAUGCGUGGGUCUCCCUCUUCAGUAGGAUUUAAAAGUAUGCUGCGUGCAG
Molecule: long non-coding RNA, 123 nt
Organism: Sapajus apella (tufted capuchin)
Lineage: Eukaryota; Metazoa; Chordata; Mammalia; Primates; Cebidae
Exons: 3
Source: RefSeq, a predicted model, not a curated record